UGCGCCCCGCACUCGAGGGCCGCUCCCGCCGCGUCCCCGAGCGCGGCUCCCUCGUGUGAGGGGCCCGGCGUUCCGCGGCCGCCCCUGCACCUGCCGCAGGGAACGAAGCGGGGCGGGCUGCGGCUUCCGGGCAGCCGGUGCUCUGCAGGAAAAUCCCUACUCCCCAGCACUGUCUGUCUUGCCAAAGCAAAACUGCUGCACGGGCGAUAGAAGUCUCUCUGUGCCGCCUCCUGAAACAAGGGAGAGCCCUUCCAGUUUCACAGUUCUUGCUCCUGCUCUCAUUGAAAAUGCUGCAAAAAUCUCCUGCUUGCUCACGUGCUAAACAGACCUUUCCAUGGGCAGAUUCAGUGCUGCUGCAUCUACAGGUUGGUGAAAUGGCCAGGAAAAGUUGUGUCUCCACAUGGCUCUCAUGACAACCCUCUGUCCUGCUGUUCUGUUCCUUCUUAUAGGAGGACUACUGAAAUGGAAACAAAGAUCUCUGCUGGAAAAAAAGCCAUUCUCUGUAUGUUUGAAGAAACUGGUUCUGGAUCUCUGAUAGUAGUGGAGCUGGUCACAAUACCAUAGUAACAGUUGCUUUGCAGUUUCACUUUUGACAGCAUUUAAUUCCUUGCCAUAGUGGAUGUGGUUAAAAGGCUUGCUUGUGGAAUUCAGUGGUUUUCUCUUCAGGGAUCUGAACUCCAUCCCAUACAAUGAAAUAAAACUGUGGUUGAAUAUUUUUAAGAAGUAAAAUUUGAAGAAGUAAAACCAUUUACGAAAUAAUGGUCAGCAUAAGACAAUAUCUCCUCUGGUGUAUUUAGCUCACACAUACAAGUAUGGAUAUGUAAGGUUCCAGUUCUAAUGGAAGAGUCACUUGUGUUUUGUUUGAGAGAAGAAAGAAGACUGGGGAGAAGGAUUCUACAAUCCCUUCAUGGACAGUCAGUGAAGUUCUCCCAAGCAAAGGGCCAGUACAAAUCUUGGACACAACAAGGAGUCGAAAUAGGAAGGGAGAAGGGCAGAGCAGUACAUGAAAGCUAUUUCUCUACAUUGGCAUGGAUUUUGAUACUUAGAAGCAAAGACCUGGAAAUGUGUUGUAAACUUGCAUUCCCUUUGAAUGUGAACAUCUUAGAAUAGUAUCAGAUGCAUGUAUUUGGCAGGUAGCAAGUGCUAGUGCUGUCAGUGCUCUGCAGUAUCUUACCUGUCAGUUUCUCUUGCCCAUGUGUGUCCUUUGAGGUAUUUGGGAUAUGCCUCGUUCAGCAUUUUAGGUUGGACCAGGAGCAGGCUUUGGAAAUGAAUCUCCUGGUCAUUCCCACAUGUGCAGCUUUGGUUUUCAGGGUGGUUUACAGUGUCAGAGCACACAAAUGGGAUUACCUCCUGAGUAAAAUUAAACUGGGACCCAGGACCUAACAUGCUCCAGCAACUAAUGGACAUGCAGUCCACACUGGAACUGGUUGGAAAUAAAUUCCAAUAAGCUGUGUCUAGUGUAGAUACCAGACUCCCAACACAUGUGAUUUUGUUCUGUAGAUCCCUUCCUAGUGUACCUGGUAAUUGUUAAUGGAUUAACUGUUAAUUGUUAAUCACAGCCUGAUCAUUAACAGGUCUUGCUUUAAAAAAAAAUGAUUAUGGGAAUCUGUUCUUGUAUCUUCUAUUUCUUCUGGAAUUAAUUACUGUUCAUUAACAAAGUGGUUGGUCUAUUCCAUGGGAGAAACAGGAUGAGACAGAUGGAGGCCAGCCAGUGUUCUUUAGCAUGAGGCCUUUCUCACCCUCAUAGUGAUAGUUUUGUGGUUUGCACAUUAGGAACAGUUUUCAAUGUAGUUAACUAUUCUGCUUCUGUUGCCUCUUGGUAUCUAAAUAUUUUGGCGUCUAAAUAUCUAGAUAUUGAAUUAAUCUGAAAAAAUGUGUUCUUUAUCUGUGAGAUAACAAAAAACUCUCUGGUUUAUAGUUUUUUCUAUCUCUCUGUGUGUACUUGUAUAGAUCAGUAUAUUUUCUAGGGUAGGCAAAGUUUUCCUUCCAUGUUCUAAAAAGAGCACAUUGUAUAAAAAUAGUUUGUAGAUUUUUCCAUUUUUUCUUCCC
Vidua macroura (Pin-tailed whydah) is the source of this 2049-nucleotide long non-coding RNA. RefSeq lists it as uncharacterized. The record is from RefSeq and is a predicted model, not a curated record. NCBI's taxonomy places the organism in Eukaryota, Metazoa, Chordata, Aves, Passeriformes, Viduidae. The transcript is spliced from 7 exons.